GUUCCUCCCUAGGAGUUUAAAUAUAGUCUAUGAAGCUAAGACAUAAUAAGGAAUACCUUGGUACUUUUCAUUUUUUUUAAACCUAGGUAGCCUGGAGAACAGAUAGAUCUCAUUUAUGCCUGCAUUUUGUGGCUAGCGUCUCACACAUUUGGACCUAAGAAAAAGAAUGGUAGUUUGCUGAUAAUUUAUUACAGCUCCGUCCCUCCAACUGUUCUUUAUUAGGUACCAGCAAAAUGUGUUCUGCUGUUGAUUGCCUUUACUUUCCUGGCCUUUCAAAUCCUUUGAACUUGCAUUUCACAAUGCCAAUAUCAAAAUGAAAUAAUAGGCAACAGACAACUGUCUUUUAAUGUAGCAAUUAUAUAUUUCGUCAAUUAGAGGUUUGCUCUCUAAAAGCAGAUACUUUUCAUUUUAAAGUACAUAGGAUAAUUCUCAAGAAGUAUUUGCUGCAGUACUGGUGGUUAUGGCUAAAAAUAGAGCAAUAGUGAAAAUAAAAAUAAGUGCCUACUCUAAAACCAGGAAGAUGCACAGUGAAAACUUUGAAAAAUUAUUUUGCCAUGAAAUAAUUUUCUAAGCGUUUUCCUUGGGAUAUUGAUUUUAUUGUAUCGAUUGUAUUAUAUUGUAUGGUAUUAGAUUAGAUUAGAUUGGAUUGGAUUUAUAGCACCCAGGCUACCUCCUUGAGAAACAGCAACUUACCUAGCAAAUCCACCUUUUUCGCCUUUAAGAAUACGUUUUCAUUGAAUUCCUAUUUGUCCAAAGAUACUAAGUAUGCCCGGUGGACCUAAGAGACAAACCCAAAUUAGGGAAAGUAAGCUCAGAUGGAAAGAGACCUUUGGGAUUUCAUUUUAUUAUGUUUUAUAUAUGUUUUAAUACCUUUUCACAGAUUUAAAUCCCCAGGGUGAAUACUCCCUUCUUUGUUAGUACCUGGCGUGUGUUCAGUAGUCAAAGUAAUUAAAAUUAGCACCUAUAUAAUGAGCUUGUCAUUUUUAAUGUUCUUUACCAACCAGAAUCCUAAUGAAGUCUAAAAGGUUUAGGCUAAAUAUCUUCACAACAGACCUCCAAAACCUUCAAGGUCAGAACUGAACACACGGUGGCGAGAGGAACUGUCUUCACAGCAGCUCUGCUUCCUCGGAGACGGCCAGAGGGAAAGGCCGUUGGCCAGUGCCAGUACUUCGCCCAAGGGAGUACCUGCUCACAUUAACCCAGCCCAAGAAGUUCCUUUGGCCAAGACGCACACACACACACCACUGUCCGGUUUUCUAUUUCCUUCCAGUGUAACGACAACCACAAGCUAUCAGCACUUCACUAUUUGCUGUCCCCUCAGCGGGAUCGGGAUGCAGCUACGCAGCGGGCCCCUGGCGAGCCGCGGUGUCAGGGCCCUUUUCUCCUCUUCCCACCGUGGGAAGCGAAUUCAGUGGCGUCAAGGGCCAAGAGCCAGACCUGAGUUUGUCUCUCACCCCCCGAUGCUCGUCUCCCUUUUCUCACUGCCUUCCGCCCCCUCUGAUCUCGACUUCUCGCAACCUAUCCAGGUCCUCUCUGGGCCUCUGCCCUGAGUCAGCCCCGAAUCAGACGGGCUUGACUCGCUGAAAGAAUUCCCCUUUGAGAGGAGGCAGAUUCCCCUCUACAUAGACGACACCCUGACGUCGAGGGGCUUGCCCCUCGUCCGUGGGGAAGCCUUCCCGGCCCGCGGCUGGGGCCUGAGGUUGGGCCGAUCACCCCUCCUACCAGUCCUAGUUCGGGUCUAGCGGAAUGGCUGGGCUCCGAGAAGGGCGCCGGGCCCACGGGCGGGACGGCCAGGGCGGCCCCGCACCCUCUGGGCGCAAAUUUCUCCAGCGGGGUCCCCAGCGC
Molecule: long non-coding RNA, 1845 nt
Filed under: Homo sapiens (human)
Lineage: Eukaryota; Metazoa; Chordata; Mammalia; Primates; Hominidae
Description: HSALNT0239943
Source: RNAcentral